GGGAGAAACUGGGGGAGAUUCUUUUUCAAUGGUGGAGCUGUUCUACUAGAUUUCUAUUGCCAAACCCUUGUACUGCGUUAAUCCCCAAUUUCAUGUAAUGCAUUCAAAUGUAUAAGGUCAACUGUUAGCUCCUUUAUGAAACAUGUUGGGAGUAUUUAACCACAUAAAGCUGAUUUUACAGAAAAAAUUUUUAACAGCACACCAUUUUUAUAUUCCUGUCAAUAUUUUAAUUUGGUGUUAUCAGUCUCACACUCUCUUCCUCUCCACACUGAUGGCUAAUGUGGAUCUAAUUUCUUUUAAACCAUAUUUAAAUUGAGGGUUG
RNAcentral lists this long non-coding RNA (322 nucleotides) under Bos taurus (domestic cattle). RNAcentral's name for it is "long non-coding RNA NONBTAT011610". Lineage: Eukaryota; Metazoa; Chordata; Mammalia; Artiodactyla; Bovidae. The record is from RNAcentral.